Molecule: ribosomal RNA, 416 nt
Filed under: uncultured bacterium
Lineage: Bacteria
Description: bacterial SSU rRNA
Rfam family: Bacterial small subunit ribosomal RNA
Source: RNAcentral
AACGAACGCUGGCGGCAGGCCUAACACAUGCAAGUCGAGCGGGCGUAGCAAUACGUCAGCGGCGGACGGGUGAGUAACACGUGGGAAUAUGCCUUUCGGUUUGGAACAACUCGGGGAAACCCGUGCUAAUUCCGGAUACGCCCUUAGGGGGAAAGAUUUAUCGCCGAAAGAUUAGCCCGCGCCCGAUUAGCUAGUUGGUGAGGUAACGGCCCACCAAGGCGACGAUCGGUAGCUGGUUUGAGAGAACGACCAGCCACACUGGGACUGAGACACGGCCAGACUCCUACGGGAGGCAGCAGUGGGGAAUCUUGGACAAUGGAGGAAACUCUGAUCCAGCCAUGCCGCGUGAGUGAUGAAGGCCUUGGUUGUAAACUACUUUCGCGCGCGACGAUAAUGACGGUAGCGCGAGAAGAAGC